This 497-nucleotide ribosomal RNA is filed under the name uncultured bacterium. RNAcentral's name for it is "partial 16S ribosomal RNA". It matches the Rfam family "Bacterial small subunit ribosomal RNA", at positions 28 to 507 of the family's 1533-position model. The record is from RNAcentral.
GAUGAACGCUGGCGGCGUGCCUAAUACAUGCAAGUCGAGCGAACGGACGAGAAGCUUGCUUCUCUGAUGUUAGCGGCGGACGGGUGAGUAACACGUGGAUAACCUACCUAUAAGACUGGGAUAACUUCGGGAAACCGGAGCUAAUACCGGAUAAUAUUUUGAACCGCAUGGUUCAAAAGUGAAAGACGGUCUUGCUGUCACUUAUAGAUGGAUCCGCGCUGCAUUAGCUAGUUGGUAAGGUAACGGCUCACCAAGGCAACGAUGCAUAGCCGACCUGAGAGGGUGAUCGGCCACACUGGAACUGAGCCACGGUCCAGACUCCUACGGGAGGCAGCAGUAGGGAAUCUUCCGCAAAGGGCGAAAGCAUGACGGAGCAACGCCGAGUGAGUGAUGAAGGUCUUCGGAUCGUAAAACUCUGUUAUUAGGGAAGAACAUAUGUGUAAGUAACUGUGCACAGCUUGACGGUACCUAAUCAGAAAGCCACGGCUAACUACGUG